UUAAGUCCCGCAACGAGCGCAACCCUUGCCUUUAGUUGCCAGCAGUUCGGCUGGGCACUCUAAAGGGACUGCCGGUGUUAAACCGGAGGAAGGUGGGGAUGACGUCAAGUCCUCAUGGCCUUUAUGACCAGGGCUACACACGUACUACAAUGGCCGAUACAAAAGGGCAGCGACACUGCGAGGUGAAGCCAAUCCCGUAAAAUCGGUCUCAGUCCGGAUUGGAGUCUGCAACUCGACUCCAUGAAGUUGGAAUCGCUAGUAAUCGUGGAUCAGCAUGCCACGGUGAAUACGUUCCCGGGCCUU
This 303-nucleotide ribosomal RNA is filed under the name uncultured Desulfobulbus sp. RNAcentral describes it as "bacterial SSU rRNA". It matches the Rfam family "Bacterial small subunit ribosomal RNA", at positions 1080 to 1382 of the family's 1533-position model. Lineage: Bacteria; Pseudomonadati; Thermodesulfobacteriota; Desulfobulbia; Desulfobulbales; Desulfobulbaceae. The record is from RNAcentral.